This is a long non-coding RNA of Triticum dicoccoides, 2291 nucleotides long. RefSeq lists it as uncharacterized. The record is from RefSeq and is a predicted model, not a curated record. NCBI's taxonomy places the organism in Eukaryota, Viridiplantae, Streptophyta, Magnoliopsida, Poales, Poaceae. The transcript is spliced from 3 exons.
GUAGUAUCCGGCUUAUGUCUUCGGCUUUUGCAAGGCAGGUUCUUCAUUAUACCUCGGACGGAUAAUAGUCCGGCCCCGACUUUCAUGUUCUGCUUUUAUGACUCGUUCCAUAUCGUCGCCUUGCUUUCCACGUGUUGGGCGAAUGUGAACGGUCCAUAAUAAUUUUUACAAAUAAAACCCAUGACCACACCGGGACGCCGCCUAUAUAAAGAGGUUAGAUCCCCAAGUGCCAUCCACAUCGUGCAAAGAACAUCAGGAAUAGCCACGGAAAACUUCAAAACAUGGCCAGCGCUCCCAGCUCUUCUUCGCACCCUCAUGGCCCUCAAGAGGGUGAUUGGCGGAGCUGCUCAGUGUCCCAUGUUCAGCUGAACUGACUUCAGACGUAGGGAUAUCUCCCUCUCGCAGAUCUAGUCCCUGUGCGAGCGGGAUUGGCCUUGAUCGGCAAUGAUGCGCUAGAAGAAAAUUUCCCCAUCCCCAACAAGGAGGAGAGGGUGUGCUUCGUUUCGUUUCUGUUGCAGGGCUUAGGAUUUCCAAUCCAUCCCUUUCUCAGGGGCCUGUUGGAGUUCUACGGAAUCCAGCUGCAAAACCUCACCCCAAGUUCGAUUCUACACAUCUCGGGCUUUGUCGCUCUCUGCGAACUGUUCCUGGGCUGCGAGGCCCAUUUCGAACUAUGGACAAAGUUCUUUUGCCUCAUCCCUCACCAUCGAGGGGGUUCCAUAUUUGAAGUGGGCGGCGCCGAAGUAUGGCACAUAGCCGGAUCAGGCUACCCUAUUGGAACUUCCAAGGAAGUAUCCCAAGAAUGGUCUUCGGAAUGGUUUUAUAAUGAGGACUUCCCCCUUAUGGACCCAGUUCGGCGCGGCCACCCCGAAUUCUCCAGUGCUCCUUUGAAGAAAUGCCUCAAUUGGCACCCCUGGAAUCCCAAGGAGGAAGACAGUGCUGAAGUGAAGAGGUUGGUCAGCAAGGUCAGAUUACUAGCUCAUUCUGAGCUCUCGAUAAUCGAAGUCAUGGCCAUCACAGUAAAACAAUGUAUUCAGCCCCUUCAGUCCAUAGUAACUCCUUUGUGGUAUUAUAACGGAGAAGACGACGCAUCUCAUUACAGAGACGCAAGGGCCCAGAUACCCCAGCCGAACUGGCCAUAAUCCUGUCUGAUCUGUAUAAGGGGAUAAAGAAUACUUCCUUCGCUUAAACUGUCGAGAAGGCUUUUCCAUGUACAACCCCAUUGAAUGGUCAUGGAGGAAGGAGGUUGAGAACAUUCAUUGUUCCUCCCCAUAGCUAGAGGAUCAUGCUCGCAAUGAAGACCUCAGCUUCCUCCAGGAUCUGGAUAUAUACAUAGACUUCGAUGAUGGAGUAUUUUAUCAGGCGAGCCUCGACGGCUCGGAGGUGGCAAUUACGGCCGACUACCCGCGCCUUUACCCCUUCUCCAUUGUAAGUAUUCGGGAAACUUCCUCAAAAAGGAGCCCAUGUUUACAUCCUACCCCUCACACUAAAAUGUGUUUUAUAGGAUCGAUGCUCCGCAAGCCGUACUCCAUCGAGAGCGGCUUCUACACAGGGUGAUCGUUCAAAACGAAAGGAAACCGGAAGCGCAGACGAGCCCCCUCCUCCUUCAAAUAGGAGGAGCACACGACAAACCGUGGGAAAACAUCCCGCCGUCCGUGUAUCGGCUAAUCCGGCCCCGGGCUCAUGAAUCAGGACGAGAGUUGAUACAGUACCAGAUCCACCCCCUCAUGAGGAUUCAGAUGACGUAUCUGUCACGAAUUAGGAGGUGGAGAGCAUGAUGAAUCAUCACCGACUAAAAGAGGCCAUGCACGCUCUAGUUUUUAUUAAACAGGAAUCCACCGCCCUCAGCUCCGUAGAUGCAUAUAUCGGGGCAACUCGGGACGGACUUGCCAGAGUUACAUAGCUAUUAUCAAAGGAUAUACAAGUAAUAGCUUGUGCAAAUUUAAUAGAUAUAUGCCAGUAGCCCCUGAGACUUGAAGCAGUUAGACCAACCGAUUUAAGGAUUGUUAUGACCUACAGGUUCUUAGGGAGAAGAAUAAUGCGCUAUCCCAGGAGCUGAAAACAAGCCAUGGAGUUGGUGGAGAUGAAGAAAGCCACAAUGACCACCGAUCAAAAGAACAAGCUCUAGGAGGAAAAAGAUAAGCAAGCCAAAGAGAUGAAGAGCUUAAAGGCUCAGUAAUCGGCCGCGUAGAAAGAAAACAAGAAGUUAAAAGGCGGCAUAUUCGGUAUGACCCGUUGAACCAUCCAAAGGAUUUAUAGUAUCCCAUAGUUUGGAUUGUCACAACAUUGUUGUU